Molecule: long non-coding RNA, 421 nt
Filed under: Vombatus ursinus (common wombat)
Lineage: Eukaryota; Metazoa; Chordata; Mammalia; Diprotodontia; Vombatidae
Description: lncRNA (ENSVURG00010022384.1)
Source: RNAcentral
UAUGAACUUGUCAAGCUUGUGAGAUUCCAGCAUUUGCCUCACUAGUACAAGAAUUCACAUUGUCAUGAAGCACUAUGAAGUCAGAUUUGUUCGGAAUCCAGUGGGAUUACAUCUGUUUAAAAAAAGGCAAAAGCUGUUUAGUGUUAUAAUUGUAUUUAAUCUAAAAGGUUUGAAUCAGUUACAUGUGGGAGAGAGAACAGAAAGGAAGGAAAAAAAGAAUAGGCCAUUAAGAGCUGGGACAAAGAUCAUCACAAUCACAUCACAGCUCAUGAAGUUGGGUCCCAAAGAACAAGUUUGUCCACGGUCACAAACCUAGGAAAUGGCUGAGUAAUUGAUCGAAAUCUUCAGAAAAUUGAAAGACCUUGUGUUUUUCAAUCAAAGUCUUGAAGCCUCCCUGGCCAACAAAGAACAUUAAACACAG